GGAUGCUUCAGAUCUGUGGUGGUUCUCCCACCAACUGGCCUAAUCUCCAUCUGUGGGAUGCUGCUGCUGCUGACCUUCCUCCAGCCCACUGCUUCCAGCUUCCCAUUUCCAUCAAUCUACUCUGCAUCACCCUCACUAUACUUGAUUUGCUCAUCUACAUAUUUUUGAAUUUACCACCAGCUAUAUAUAUAUAUAUAUAUAUAUAUAGUAUAUUUAAUGCCAGAGCCAUACACCAUAGCAGUAAACUAUAAUCAGUUUCCAGCCCAGAGGGAUAUAUGCGCAGAUUUUUUUAAAUACCAUGAAGAAGACUAUAUACAGGAAGAUGAGGUAUCAGUUCUUGCACAUAGAUAUACAACAGUCCUUUAUUACUCCCCAGGUCAGGGGAAAUUUCCAGUGUUAGAGCAGCAAAAAUCUUUCAGAGCAGCACUAACUACAGUUUACUACAGUAAAGAUAAUUAUAAUAACAAUAAUAUAUACAAGAAUGAAAAAUGAAUAAAUACAGUAUUACUACACUAUAAGUGACAUCAGCAUAAAGUGGCUUGUGGAAUACAUUUAAAGUGCAGAAAAUGCCAGCAGUACAAGGAGUUGUGGAUAUUUUCUCAAAACAGGGACAGAGAUUUGUGUCUGAGUCUCUGCUGUCAUCUAAUCUCUCUCAUGCAAGAUCAUGUCACAGGAGGGGGCGCUACUGGCCUCUUGUGGACACAGGCGCAGAGGCUCAUGGGUAACGUGGUUCUGAGGCAGCCAGGAGCAGAGGCUCAUGGGUAACGUGUCUCUGAGCCAGCCAGGAGCAGAGGCUCAUGGGUAACG
Amphiprion ocellaris (clown anemonefish) is the source of this 807-nucleotide long non-coding RNA. The record is from Ensembl. Lineage: Eukaryota; Metazoa; Chordata; Actinopteri; Pomacentridae.